UUGCUUCCCUGAGAAAGGUUAGUCUUCGAUUCUUCUUUCUUGUCUUGUCGUGUUGUUAUAGUUAUAGCAGUAGUAAUUUUGAUUAUUGCAUUGUAUGUUUAGAAUUAUUGUUGUAGAGGCUAUGAAGGCUAUAGGUUUUUAUUAUGAUGAAAAAUAUCGUUGUGCUAUCUCUCCGCCAAAUUUCAUCUUUUUUCUCUUGUGGAUGUAUGUUAGCUCUUAGUCCUUCCUCAAUAUAAGUGAAAGUGAUAGUUGUAGAAAGUGUUUGAAAGUCAUAAGUCUUCUUUGUUCAGCUCUUGGACUUAAUAUCUUGUUGGUUAGAUCAUUGUUUUGCCUCAUGAUUCUUGUUUUGGUUCUGAAGAUUCACUAUUUAUCUUAAUCUGUGAUUUCCUUUAGUGCCUCUUUUUGUGAUUUUCUAUUGAGGUUCAACGAUUCCUACUAAAUCCCUAACUUAUUUAUACGUGUUCUGCGUAUCUUUUUUAUUCACUCUUUGACAUAAGUGUUUCUGUUGGGCCUUUCUCAUUUUUUGUUCUAGCUUAAGGGUGUGGCUUGUACUACUUCUAUCUACUAUUUUUUAAGAAAAAAGCUUAAUCCGUCUUGUCCAGCUUAACUUCCUACUUGUUUUAGCUUGAAUACUAAUUCUUCAUCUUGGAAACUUUGAUUUUGAUACCUGUGUUCUAUUUUAAAUUCGUGUCUGUUAGGGGUUCUUGUUUGAGGCCUUUGGGAAAAUGUAUUGGCUUGUUGAAGAAUAUUAGGUAUUUAAGUAUCUCUGUUGAAGUAGAAUAUCCUAAUUUUUGUUGUCAUUACGCUAUGUGUAAUUUGUGCUUAAGCUAAGGAUUCCCAAGAAUCUUUCUUGCUCGAUAACAUCAAGAAGAGAGGGGUGAAGUUAUAUUUUUCUUACUCCUAAAAACAAAGUUAGGAGACGGAAUACAUCAUCACAACUGUUUGCUUCUAUCCUCAAGUGCCCACUAUCAGGGAUUUUUUUAUUUUUAAUAUUUGAAAAUAUUUAAUUGUUUUCCCUAGUCUAAUAACUAUAUAUUUUGUGGUCGGGUGCGACAGAUAUGUUAUAAUUGGUCCAGCUGUUGUUUUGUUUAGCUGAAAAGCUCAAAGUUGAAAGGAGAAGUUGUCUUUUUGAAAUGGCUAGUUUUAUAUCUCUUUCUCUGAUUCAUGAGUGGAGUAUUGAACAACUUACUUGCUCUCAGUGUGUACUAUUACUUCUCUUCUAUUAGGUAUAUGCUCUAUUCUAGUUUCAUUGCUUUCAUCAAGUGCUCGUCUCUCAUGUAUUCUUAGAGUUAUUUAUUUUAAAUCAAGCAUGUUACUAGUAUCGAUUAGGCAAAUUGCAAUGUAGACCUCUGUCUUCAUUUUAUGAAUUAAGUGGUUUAGUUAAAUGGGCCUGUUAUCCCCCCAAAUCUUAUAUGAUACUCAUUUAUUCCAGAUUGUUUUAUCUGUUGAAUCCAAGUGUUUUUUGCUUUGUUAGCAAAAAUUAUACGUUUUCAUUUAACAGGUCAGGUCAUAAGUUACCUCUUACUUUCCUUCUUUUCAUUUUUCAUUUUCUAUGAAAGCAUUGGUUGUAUUGUUCUUAUUUUUGUUCAUUUCUUUGCUAUGACUUAGUCUGGAACUAUCUUUUUGAAAUUUGUCUUGAAACAGUAAAGUUUAUAGUUUCCUACAAAGACUGUUUUAAUCGUGAAAUUUUAACGAGUUUAUGAGGUGCUUUCAUGCAAUUUUGGUAUUAAACAUUGUAUUUCAAGUCAAGUACGAACAUAAACGCCUAAUUUCCUAUAAAGGUCGAAUUGAUUCACAAUUUUUUUUGAUGGCUUGAAUGAUGAAUUGUUUAGUUGACUUCCAUGUCUACUUUUAUCUCUCAUUCCUUUCCCAUAUUUCUUCUUUUCAAGUUUUCUGAAAAUGCCUUGUUAAGAUAUGAAUACUCCGAGUUAGUAUUGCGGAUUAGUAAGAAGAUCAAAUCUUGUUUUGAUUACUUGAAAUAUGAAAGCCAAUCCCAUGUGUAGUGUGAAUAUGUUCAAGAUUAUAUAUAGUUUGAAUCAGUUGUGUUUUGUAUUUAUUUUUCGAAUUAACUACUCUCAUUUCGAAUAAAAUUCUAAUCCUCCUCUUUUCUUUGGCGUGAAAAAUCUGUUUGGGGUUCGAGUGGACUUUCCUUUUCUUUGCAUUCAUAAUAGGCAAAUGGGGCCAUCUCUUCGAGUCAACUUCAAGCUAAGUCCAAAAGUUUGUCCUAUGGAGUACCGUAAUAAGGAUAUAGAAGAAGAUAAUGGGUCCAAGCCCAUUGACAUAGCUGCUAGGAUUUGGAGACUUGAAAAGUCUCAUUCUUCAUUAUUUUAUUUAUUUAGUAUUGCUUUACUUGUCUUUAUUCAUUUAGUUACUUAUUUAUUCAUUCAUUCAGGGCCUCAAAGCUAAAGUGGUAAAUUAAUACAGAGAAAGCAGAUUUUGGGCCAAAGGGGUCCGAAAAGAUAGUUUAGGACAGGUUAUAGGCCAAAAGCCUAAUAUUUAAAUUAGGACAGGUGAAAAUGAGCUAAAAGCCCAAAUGAAUAGUUAAGGACAGAGGUAUUUGGGCCAAAAGCCCAAUUAUAUUAGUACAGGAUUGAUGGAUUUUGGCUUACAAGCCUGACUUAUAAUUCUUCCCGUUCCCCUUUAUGUGUUAUUUGAUAUUAGUUUUCUUAGAACUAGUUAAAUUCCCCAUUAAGUCGUCCAAAAUUAAUUUUGCACAAAUUUUUCUCUUAAUCAAUUUUUUUAUAAAAUAAUACCUAUUUAAAUUUAGACAAAGAUGUUGUUUUCAAAUAGUCCGGAUAACCGCAAGUUAAUAGAUACUCUUGGUUCCUUAACCACCUUCCAAGAGUAUUAAUAGGAACCACUUACUCGGAAUUUCAAACUUAAAUAAUUUUUUUCUACUUUGAAUCAUUUAAGUAAUUUCCAAAGGUUUUUUCUUAAUGUUUCUAAAUAAAUUAAGUGGAGACUCUAUUCUUGAGUUUAAAAACUUUUUGAAAGCAAAAAACUCAAAAGUUAUUUCUCCGCAAAACAAAAAUAGCGUCUCUGUUGGGGAGAUUAAGUAGGUUCUAACCAAAUAUUUGAAUUGGCUUCGUUGACUAACUAUUGCAAUUUUUAAACUGCUUAUGCACUUAUAUUUUUAAUUUCUACGAAAUUAAGCUAUUAUAUUUCAUGGCAUAGUUUCCACUCGAAAUAUAUAAAUUGUUUGGGGUUUCGUUGAUGUUCAGGGCCCUAUUGUUCAAUUCUAAAGUAAGUGUUGGGAAUACGACGGUUUAUUAGCAUGUUAGGCGUCUGAUGGCUAUUCAUAUUUCCAAACCCAAGUCGUCCUCCAGGGACCCUGGUCCAAAUCCACUCUAGACACCCAGGAUAGAGCGAAACCAAAGCCACUAGAACUUGAAUCUAAACACGAAGAAGUAAAGAUAGAAGCAUAGGAUAACCAAGAUAGGAAGACAGACACAAAAUUGAUAAUGCAAGGGGAAUCGAAGGUUAUUUCAAACCCUAAAACCUCCCUUAAUGGAUUACCAAUUACCACCUAACUCUUACGUCACCGCAAAGGGGAUUAGAUCUUCCUUACAACCAACGUUUCUAGUCAAGGCUCAAUAUUGACUUUUCCAAGUACUCAUCACUCCCAAUGGACUUUCCAUGAAUACAUCAUGAUAAAUAGUCAACAAAAACUAAAGAAGAAAGACCUAAAUCUAUCUAUUUAUAGUCAAAUAAAAGGCCUAAAAGUCACCCAUUAGCAAAAACAAAAAAUAACCUCAAGGGUGAUUUUCAAUUGAUGACUUCAUCACUAGUCGCCACUGUAGUCGUCAACCAAGUGAUAAGUCAUUGCUUUAGUCAUAACCCUUAACAUAAUGUCAUCUUCAGUGACAAUUCAUCACCUAAGUUAUCAGAAAGGUGAUAAGUCAUCACUUAAGUCAUCUGCCUUAAUAGAAUGUAAUUUUCAGCUUGAUAACUCGUCAGUGAAGUCGUCAACAACGUGAUAACUUAUCAACCAAGCUGUCACUUCUAGGAAGAAUGUUAGUUUUUUUAUCUUUUUAUCCCAAUAAAUUAACCAUACAUGAGAUUGUUGGUUUAGGAGCUCAAAGAAGGUCCUCCAAGUGUAUUCUUGAAUUGUUUGGUUUAUCAUGACUCGGACCUCUUUGUGUUGUCCUCGAAUGAUGUGUUCAAAAAUGUUCGUGGCCAUUUGGCUUGCAUCAUCCUCCCCUUCUUGAAAAGGAUUUGACCUUGAAUCUAUUCCUUGAAAAAUCAAAGGAAGGACAAACAAACACAAAAUCAUCAUGGAAUGAGGGUUAUGGUUAGCACACAAAUCACAUCAUCAUGCCAAGGUUGAACAUAUUUAAUAUAUAUCCAAGUAUCCUUCAUGUUAAACAUUAGAAGCUCGUUGAAAAAUACACAAAGAAGUUGAUUAUGAACAUCAUCAAGAUAUAAGGAAACAAUAAAGGUCUUAAUGACAUCAAUUAUUCCAAAAGGUAGAACUACGUAUACCUUAUGAGCCAUAGGACACAAUUGCUUCAUUAUUUCUUCAACAGACCACACCAAGGGUGGUGCCUCAAUGGCUUCUAAAGUUCACAAGAUCCAUAUAGUAUUGUGACACAAACAAGUGGACAAACCAACAAUUUUCCUACCUCGACAUAAAAAAUCCAAGACUAGCAUGGAUGUCGUCAUAUGGAAAAAAGUAGUAUAGAAAAGAAUCAAGUGUAAAGGCAUCAUCCAAGGUGCUUGUAAUACCCAAAAAUCCAAAUCAAUAUUAAAAACAUUCUUCAAGAUCAUGGAAAAUAAAUUAUAGUGAUUUGGUAGUUUUAUUAGUGAGUUUGAUGUAUAUUAAGGCCUCAAAUAACUCCUAGUUAUUAAAUAAAUCAAAAUAUCUCUUACUGAUUGAGUUCUUGAGAAGGAUGUCGCCAUAGUGAACUUCAAAUGAGAAUAUGUUUUGUUUUACUAAAAAAAUUUUAUGACAUAGCCCACCAACGGUUAGAUAAUUGAAUUAUCUUUUCAACGAUAGCAAUUUUUUCUUAAUCUGAUUUCUGAUUAAAACUUUAUGCUUGUUUUACCAGAGAGCUGUCCUACUGUCGAAGUGCGAUGGCCAGGUUAACGGUCAUCAAGCCAGGCCGUCAACUUCAGGAAGUGAGCUCAUUUUCUACCCAUAAACUGAUUUCUUGAGUGACGGUCAAUCACCAGAGUGACGGUCGGUCACCCAAACCAUCAACCAAGCCCGCUCAAUGAAGGAUUGACAUUUUUAAUGAGGUCUAUGGGUCUUUUUCCACCCUUUUUAACCCCUAAUUCCAUCAACUUAAAAAACAUAACCCCUCACUCAUCCUUAAAAUCAAAAUUAGGGCUUCUUUCAAGAUCAUUCACCAAGAACAAGAUUCAAACCCUUCUUCAAGAAACUAAGAAAUUCAAGUUCUUCAAGUUCAAGAAACAUCAAGAAAACAUCAAGAUUUAUGAUUCCCAAUCCAAGAACGUUCAAGAAAAGUUAAUUCUCUUUCAAGAAUAAUUCUUUAAGGUAUGUUAAAUGUUCAUCCAUGGAUCCUUUUCACCCAUGGAUCCCAAGAACCCAACUUCAAAUUCAAAGUUAUGAUUUUUACAAAUUAUGGGGAUUUUAACCAUGAGUCGCCUUGAAUUUUGAUUCUAUAACAUGUUCCCCAAACAUUAGAAUGGUGUUGUUCACUGAAUUAAACCCUAAUUGGUGAUUUUAGUAGGAAAACCAUGCUAUUACUAUAAGUUUUAAAACUAUUCCCAUACUUAUCUUAAACCAUGAAUUACAAGUGUUUGAUGAAAUGCCCAAAAAAAGGAGUUUUGAAUAAAUGCUUACAUAUCAUGUCCUCAAAGUUUUAGUACAAUCCUUCUAUUAUUAUUAUCGAGUCCUGGGGGUUUAAAUACCCAAAAUUUAGUCGCUUACCUAGUUUUCAAUAUUUAUAGAAUGGUUACAGAAUUUAAAUAGUUAAGCAUAGUCAGCCAAAUAUUUUGGGUCUUUCAGUUGGGAGUAGGAUUUAGCAUCGAGCAAAUGUAGGUAUAACGGCUUCCCCAUCAGUUAGGCAGAGUCAUUAGUAGCAGUCCUUGCAUUCCAGAACUAUGUAGCCGGCGUAGGAUAUGAGGAGUCACCCAUCAAUUUAGGCUUGAUUUUGCCCAGGUGUCACCCAUCAAUUUAUGCUUGACAUCCUAGUUUUUCAGUAGCUUAGUGGAUCCACUCAGCCAUGAGUUAGUACCCGUGGCACGAUAUUGGCACCCUUCCAAUUGGGGUCACAGUUUGGACCCCAAUUUGCUCAUUGGGGCAUGUCGGUUAGAUGAUAGCUCCCAUAGUCUCAGUCCAAUAUUCAGCCCAAUAAUUUAGUUUCAAGUUUGCUUGAACUUAGCAUACAAAUAUAAGUCAUUUGUUUAUCAGUAUUCAGUAUUUUAGUUAACUUAUUAUAUUUAGAACAUGUUUUAUGCUUGGUUAUGCAUUCUCAGUCUUUACCGAUUUUAUGCAUUAUAUUUAGUACUUCAUGAUAUACAUUCAAUCAUCUAUUACUUGUGCACAUAAAACCAUGUAUAUUAGCCUAACCUCAUUUAGCAUACCAGUAUAUUCAAAGUACUGAUCGCAUACUCUUUUCUUAUGCAAUGAUGUUUAAUAUCAUAG
This 6610-nucleotide long non-coding RNA is filed under the name Capsicum annuum. RNAcentral's name for it is "long non-coding RNA (CANN_LNC019257)". The record is from RNAcentral. Lineage: Eukaryota; Viridiplantae; Streptophyta; Magnoliopsida; Solanales; Solanaceae.